This 407-nucleotide ribosomal RNA is filed under the name uncultured bacterium. RNAcentral's name for it is "bacterial SSU rRNA". It matches the Rfam family "Bacterial small subunit ribosomal RNA", at positions 355 to 776 of the family's 1533-position model. The record is from RNAcentral.
UGGGGAAUAUUGGGCAAUGGGCGCAAGCCUGACCCAGCAACGCCGCGUGAAGGAAGAAGGCUUUCGGGUUGUAAACUUCUUUUAUAAGGGACGAAACAAAUGACGGUACCUUAUGAAUAAGCCACGGCUAACUACGUGCCAGCAGCCGCGGUAAUACGUAGGUGGCAAGCGUUAUCCGGAGUUACUGGGUGUAAAGGGCGUGUAGGCGGGACUGCAAGUCAGAUGUGAAAACCAUGGGCUCAACCCAUGGCCUGCAUUUGAAACUGUAGUUCUUGAGUGAUGGAGAGGCAGGCGGAAUUCCGUGUGUAGCGGUGAAAUGCGUAGAUAUACGGAGGAACACCAGUGGCGAAGGCGGCCUGCUGGACAUUAACUGACGCUGAGGCGCGAAAGCGUGGGGAGCAAACAGG